CGGCUUGGUGAGGUGCAACUUGUUGGUGUGUGAUCAUAUUGCACUUACCCCGGCCUGG
This 58-nucleotide microRNA precursor is filed under the name Melibe leonina. RNAcentral describes it as "microRNA mle-mir-92a precursor". Its record names the gene mle-mir-92a. Lineage: Eukaryota; Metazoa; Mollusca; Gastropoda; Nudibranchia; Dendronotidae. The record is from miRBase by way of RNAcentral.